RNAcentral lists this ribosomal RNA (449 nucleotides) under uncultured bacterium. Its description in RNAcentral is "bacterial SSU rRNA". It matches the Rfam family "Bacterial small subunit ribosomal RNA", at positions 10 to 507 of the family's 1533-position model. The record is from RNAcentral.
AGUUUGAUCCUGGCUCAGAACGAACGCUGGCGGCAUGCCUAACACAUGCAAGUCGAACGAAGUCUUCGGACUUAGUGGCGCACGGGUGCGUAACGCGUGGGAAUCUGCCCUUGGGUGCGGAAUAACUUCUCGAAAGGGAUGCUAAUACCGCAUAAUGUCGUAAGACCAAAGAUUUAUCGCCCAAGGAUGAGCCCGCGUAAGAUUAGCUAGUUGGUGGGGUAAAAGCCUACCAAGGCGACGAUCUUUAGCUGGUCUGAGAGGAUGAUCAGCCACACUGGGACUGAGACACGGCCCAGACUCCUACGGGAGGCAGCAGUGGGAAUAUUGGACAAUGGGCGAAAGCCUGAUCCAGCAAUGCCGCGUGAGUGAUGAAGGCCUUAGGGUUGUAAAGCUCUUUACCCGGGAUGAUAAUGACAGUACCGGGAGAAUAAGCCCCGGCUAACUCCGUG